Molecule: microRNA, 22 nt
Filed under: Sorghum bicolor (sorghum)
Lineage: Eukaryota; Viridiplantae; Streptophyta; Magnoliopsida; Poales; Poaceae
Also listed under: 1 other name
Description: sbi-miR396e
Gene: sbi-miR396e
Source: miRBase by way of RNAcentral
UUCCACAGGCUUUCUUGAACUG